CUCGUAGGCGGUUCGUCGCGUCCGGUGUGAAAGUCCAUCGCUUAACGGUGGAUCCGCGCCGGGUACGGGCGGGCUUGAGUGCGGUAGGGGAGACUGGAAUUCCCGGUGUAACGGUGGAAUGUGUAGAUAUCGGGAAGAACACCAAUGGACGAAGGCAGGUCUCUGGGCCGUUACUGACGCUGAGGAGCGAAAGCGUGGGGAGCGAACA
RNAcentral lists this ribosomal RNA (208 nucleotides) under uncultured bacterium. RNAcentral's name for it is "partial 16S ribosomal RNA". It matches the Rfam family "Bacterial small subunit ribosomal RNA", at positions 568 to 774 of the family's 1533-position model. The record is from RNAcentral.